This 1341-nucleotide ribosomal RNA is filed under the name uncultured bacterium. RNAcentral describes it as "partial 16S ribosomal RNA". It matches the Rfam family "Bacterial small subunit ribosomal RNA", at positions 28 to 1381 of the family's 1533-position model. The record is from RNAcentral.
GACGAACGCUGGCGGCGUGCUUAACACAUGCAAGUCGAACGGUAAGGCUCCAGCUCGCUGGGGUACACGAGUGGCGAACGGGUGAGUAACACGUGGGUGACCUGCCCUGCACUUCGGGAUAAGCCUGGGAAACUGGGUCUAAUACCGGAUAGGACCGCACCGUGAGGGUGUGGUGGAAAGUUUUUUCGGUGUGGGAUGGGCCCGCGGCCUAUCAGCUUGUUGGUGGGGUAAUGGCCUACCAAGGCGGCGACGGGUAGCCGGCCUGAGAGGGUGGACGGCCACAUUGGGACUGAGACACGGCCCAGACUCCUACGGGAGGCAGCAGUGGGGAAUAUUGCACAAUGGGCGGAAGCCUGAUGCAGCGACGCCGCGUGGGGGAUGACGGCCUUCGGGUUGUAAACUCCUUUCACCAUCGACGAAGGGUUUCUGACGGUAGAUGGAGAAGAAGCACCGGCUAACUACGUGCCAGCAGCCGCGGUAAUACGUAGGGUGCGAGCGUUGUCCGGAAUUACUGGGCGUAAAGAGCUCGUAGGUGGUUUGUCGCGUCGUCUGUGAAAUUCCGGGGCUUAACUCCGGGCGUGCAGGCGAUACGGGCAUAACUUGAGUACUGUAGGGGAGACUGGAAUUCCUGGUGUAGCGGUGAAAUGCGCAGAUAUCAGGAGGAACACCGGUGGCGAAGGCGGGUCUCUGGGCAGUAACUGACGCUGAGGAGCGAAAGCAUGGGGAGCGAACAGGAUUAGAUACCCUGGUAGUCCAUGCCGUAAACGGUGGGCGCUAGGUGUGGGUUUCCUUCCACGGGAUCCGUGCCGUGGCUAACGCAUUAAGCGCCCCGCCUGGGGAGUACGGCCGCAAGGCUAAAACUCAAAGGAAUUGACGGGGGCCCGCACAAGCGGCGGAGCAUGUGGAUUAAUUCGAUGCAACGCGAAGAACCUUACCUGGGCUUGACAUAUACAGGAUCGCGCCAGAGAUGGUGUUUCCCUUGUGGCUUGUAUACAGGUGGUGCAUGGUUGUCGUCAGCUCGUGUCGUGAGAUGUUGGGUUAAGUCCCGCAACGAGCGCAACCCUUGUCUUAUGUUGCCAGCACGUUGUGGUGGGGACUUGUAAGAAACUGCCGGGGUUAACUCGGAGGAAGGUGGGGAUGACGUCAAAUCAUCAUGCCCCUUAUGUCCAGGGCUUCACACAUGCUACAAUGGUCGGUACAGUGGGUUGCCAGUCCGUGAGGGCGAGCUAAUCCCGCAAAGCCGGUCUCAGUUCGGAUCGGGGUCUGCAACUCGACCCCGUGAAGUCGGAGUCGCUAGUAAUCGCAGAUCAGCAACGCUGCGGUGAAUACGUUCCCGGGCCU